AUUGAACGCUGGCGGCAUGCCUUACACAUGCAAGUCGAACGGUAACGGGCCUUCGGGUGCCGACGAGUGGCGAACGGGUGAGUAAUACAUCGGAACGUGCCCGAUCGUGGGGGAUAACGAGGCGAAAGCUUUGCUAAUACCGCAUACGAUCUACGGAUGAAAGCAGGGGACCGCAAGGCCUUGCGCGGACGGAGCGGCCGAUGGCAGAUUAGGUAGGUGGUGGGAUAAAAGCUUACCAAGCCGACGAUCUGUAGCUGGUCUGAGAGGAUGAUCAGCCACACUGGGACUGAGACACGGCCCAGACUCCUACGGGAGGCAGCAGUGGGGAAUUUUGGACAAUGGGCGCAAGCCUGAUCCAGCCAUGCCGCGUGCAGGAUGAAGGCCUUCGGGUUGUAAACUGCUUUUGUACGGAACGAAAAGCCUUCUUUUAAUACAGGAGGGUCAUGACGGUACCGUAAGAAUAAGCACCGGCUAACUACGUG
RNAcentral lists this ribosomal RNA (482 nucleotides) under uncultured bacterium. RNAcentral describes it as "partial 16S ribosomal RNA". It matches the Rfam family "Bacterial small subunit ribosomal RNA", at positions 30 to 507 of the family's 1533-position model. The record is from RNAcentral.